AGGCUACUUGGUCACAGAACGAUACAUUAUUGAAAGAAGGAGUGGCUGGGAGAACACCACUCCUCAGAUGCCUUUUUGAAAGGUCCUCUGGUGCCAGCAGGGCAGAGAAGGUGAUGGAAUGAUGUGCAACAGAGCCAGUGGCCGUAAGAAAAUCCGGUCAGUUCCGGUUGAGUAGAAGCAACAGGAACUCAAGAGACGUUUAGCGCAGGCUCAAGACUCAGGGCAGGAGCUCCUCACGAAUGGUUUGAACCUGAAAGGUUUGCCAGAGCUCCAGUGUUGAAGGCUUAGCCCAAAGGCACAGAGAUGGGACUUCAGGGCGGUGCCUGAUUCACAAGGGCUCCAACUUUUGGAACAGAUUCAUCCACAAGUGGAUUCACAGCUUGAUGGGCUAUUGGGAGAGAAAAACUUGAGGAGGAGGGGAAAGAAGUAUGUCACUUUUUGACAGGGUGUGAUUUGCUGUGGCCUCUUCCUCUUCCUCACUUUUGACUUCCAGGCUGUCAGGAGGUGAGAGCCGCCUUGUGCCAUCUCCAUUCAGCUCCAAGAAGGUAACUUCAGGAGCUCUACCAGGCCAUGAGCUCUAGGAGGCCAGGGGUUGUGUCUGCCAGCGAUCAAGGGAGACCAGAGGACAGCAGCACCAGACAAGAAAUCCACGUCACAAUGAGGAAGCUGACUACAUUUCAUUCACAUGUUUCUAAGCCGGGAGGCGCCUUGGCUCAGCAGCAUGCUUUACAGCGUGUGUCUGCACUGAAAGACAAAUUUUGUAAGAUGAAGGAGAAGGAGAAAGACCAUUUUCAGCCUGGAAAAGUCAUGACAAAGCUCCAGAGUGAACUAUACAUCUAGAGCCACAGAAGGAGCAAUUAUGGGCAAGAAGGCAAAUGCCUGGAAAAGACGUUAUCUCCUGGCAAGCACAAAGUUAAACAGAAUCUUAGAGACAACUGGAAAUUUCUAAGUCGCCUGGGUGGACGGCUUGAGAAGGAAUCUUUGGUUGAAAAUGCAUGUUGAGUCUCUACUGUGUCUUGUAGGAUACUGCUAUACAACUUACAUUUAUAAUUUAGCUAUGUUUACUUUGUCUGCUGGUCAUACAAACAAUAACGAAUGACAAGAGUAGAUACCGGCUGGGAGAAGGCCCAUGGCUAAAGCGGUCGGAGCAUCACUUACCAGUCAAGUUGCUUGUGAUAACAUAAGGCCCAUGUUCUACAAAGAGUCCAAACAUGGAUGAACCUCCAGGCCCGCCCUGAAGCCAGAGGACUAC
Non-coding RNA from Peromyscus maniculatus bairdii (prairie deer mouse), 1252 nucleotides. Lineage: Eukaryota; Metazoa; Chordata; Mammalia; Rodentia; Cricetidae. The record is from RefSeq and is a predicted model, not a curated record.